This 1500-nucleotide long non-coding RNA is filed under the name Olea europaea subsp. europaea. Lineage: Eukaryota; Viridiplantae; Streptophyta; Magnoliopsida; Lamiales; Oleaceae. The record is from RNAcentral.
UGUAGCAAUUGAUAACGAACAUGAACGAGCUUGCCAAAUUGUGAAGCUUACAUUCUGACCUACUCUUUCAACAAAUGCGCCACUUACAGAUAAUACGUAUAAUGAUUCUUUUCUUUUUCUAGUACAAACAAUAUCAGCUGCAAUUGGCUUCACAUUAGAAAUAACCUGCACAUCGUCUAGAUAAAAAAGAACAUACAUUCCUGAAUCCACUAUUUGAGAAACUGAUGCAAGAUCUUUGUUUUAAGCUCGGAACAUGAUAUACAUCUUUGAGAAAAAUGCCUCCAUCAUUAGAGUUAUCUUCUCUAAAAUGUCCUCCUUUCAUUAUAAGAUGUAAUGAAUUAUCAGCUGUCACAAUGAACUUUUCCCAAAAUGCGGACGAACAUCAGAUUAUACACAUCAUUUCCCGUUACAUGAUGAGAACACCUAGAAUCAGCAAUCCAUUCAUUAUUGUAGUCAAUGAAAACAUUUACAUCUGUAAGUGCAUCAAUCUGGUGCACAACAGAAGUCACAUUUUUUGGUUGAUCAAUAACUUCAAUGGCUAAGCACUUCUCCCAAUCUGGUUCUUCAUAUCACUUUCAUGUACAACAUUUGCUCCCAUUUCCUUCAAAUUAACACGACAAUUUGAUUUGAUAAGGCUUGACUUUUCAGAUCGAUUAACUCUACUUUCAACCGACAAUCACGCUUGAUGUGUCCCAACUUUUCACACCUAUAACGGCAUUUGAAUUUUCCUUAAGCUGUUCCUCAAUUUUGAACUAGUUUCUAUUGCCUACAAAAUGCUUUGAUAAUGAAUUCCUCUCUCUUGGUCCUUGAUGAAAAGAUCAUCCUCUACUUGAUGAAGUUGUCUACUGCUGGACAUUUGUUUCACCAGUACUUCUUGAUUUGAGAGCAUAUUUUCCAACUCAAUGAUAAUAGGUUGAUUUGCCCACCCUUGUACCAAAGAGAUAAAGGGCAUAAACUCUUUUUAAGGUCAACAAAUGAGAUAACGACGUAAACGAGCAUUACUCACAAGUUUUUCCAUAUCCAAUUCUAGAAUAUCAUAACAGAAGGUUUUGAGCUUUAAAAUAUUCUGAAAUUUAAAUUUUACCUUGAGGCAUCCCAGCAAGUUCAUUCUCCAAAUUCUGCAGCCUCAUCAUGUUCUUUUGAGUGAAUAACCUUUCAAGUGUCUCCCACACUUUCUUUGGCAACUUCUCAUCACGAACAUGCUCGAUGUACUCUUUACUAAUUGAUGUUUGUAAAGCAAAUAAAGCUUUGCCACACUUUACCUUCCAUCUCCUCCUCAAAUCAGCAUUAUGUGGUGUAUCUUCAAGAAUUACAUCAUCACCGGAGAUAAGUAACUACAGAUCCUACCCUUUAAGAUAAGCUUCCAUGCAUAGCUUCCAGUAACUAUAAGUGUUAAUGACAAUCUUGUCUACAAAGACACUGCUACGAGUAAUAGAAUCAAACACUUGAUAGGCAACUUGGCUCUGAUACCAUGUAACAAGGUAUGACAGAAAAUAGAAA